This is a non-coding RNA of Saimiri boliviensis boliviensis (Bolivian squirrel monkey), 1764 nucleotides long. NCBI's taxonomy places the organism in Eukaryota, Metazoa, Chordata, Mammalia, Primates, Cebidae. The record is from RefSeq and is a predicted model, not a curated record.
GCCAUCUCUAGGGCAGAAAUCUCUCAACAGCUCAAGCCCAUUCUCUCUGCCCCCUCCAUGAAACAACACAGCUCCAGCUUGGUGCUGGGAAGUCUUUCUGAUGCUGGUUUGAUUCCUGAUCACCCAACUGGGCAAGGCCCUCUCCAAGACCUCUCGGGUUCUCCCUGGCUCACCUUCCCUCCCACAGGAGGCAGCACUGUCUCAAGAAGCCGUCAACGAGUAAUGCUAGAAGAAUCAGAAGAAGGAGGUAUCUGAUGAAAAGGCACCUGCAAGUCUAAAUUCCUCUUUGGUGAGAACACUGUACAUCCGCUGAGGCAGCCCUUUGGAGUAGGGAGCAGGGCGUGGCACAGUGGUCCGCAAAAUGAAUUCCCGGCCAGCAGGGGGUGGGAAGUCUGACACGGAGUUCUGCCGCCUUUCCUCUGCAGAGCCCAUUCUCGUGAAUUCCUCCUCUGGUGGAGCCAGGGCUGCAGCCUGGAAAAGAAUCAAAUGCUGAAGUCAAAAGCAGGUAAAAUGCUAAACUCAGAUGCUUUUGAAGGACAGAUGAAUUAACAUGAUAAAUAAAUGAAAAUGUCCUAUGUUACUCAGUAAUGCAGUCAGCUGUAUGAAAGAUUACUCAAAACCACAUUACACAGCAAAUGCAAGAAGCUUGAAACACGGCAUGAGCAGCCGGACUGGAGACAGAGACAGGAGGGAUGAUGACUGCCAGGCAAUCUGCUCUGAAGAGAGAGGGCCAUAUUCAGACAUCUGAUGAAAAAGGCCCACAGAGCUGUGCUGCUUUCUGUUUCUUCCAGCAACGACUCAAGUCUCUGUCUGGUAGCCCCAGCCCAGUAAGGAGCUGUUUUUCUCCAGAGAUGAUUUUCAUCUUCACUCUGGGAAACCUCAAAGGUAGAUAUCUUCACCAUUACAAGUGAAUCCACUUUGCGCUACAUGGGCUUUAAAGAUGGUAAAACUGAACUCCAUUCUAAUUUGAAAGUAUCUGUAAGUAAACAUGUUUUCCUACAGCACAGCAUUGGCCAUUGCUAAUCAUAUCCCUGCCAGCUUCUAUAACAAUGGAUUUUGGACUCUUCUGAUUUUUAAAAUGUAGGUCCUAGAAUACACUUAUCAUUUUAAUUCAACAUGUAGGAAAACAGAUUUCGAGGCUCAGAAAUCAUUGUUUCUUCAUUGUUCAAACCCAAUGCCCAGACUUACGCUUGGAUGACAUCACUGUGAUCAGCCACGUGUGAGAACUAAAACAGCCUCUUGCAGAGCAGAGGUCUGGAGAGAUCAUGAUAAGAGUCAGCAAAGGUUCUCACAUACCCUCUGAGCACUCACAAACAGCUUGUGAAUGAUCCUGCCAGCAUGUCCUCUUCCUGCGCCGGUGACUAACACUUCAGGUUGCUCCAGCAGGCAACUCACAAACCUAGGAGAGACAGACAGCCAAUGAAAGGGUGGAAAUGAGCUGUCCAGGCCACUUUGUGUCUAUCCAUCCUCCCACAGGAGUUUUUUGGACAAAUUCUCCAGCUCAUACUGGCUGGACGCACCAAGGUUGGAGUGAAAUUUUACAGCAAGAUAGACUGACAUUUGGAAUUAAUACCCACUCAAUUGAAAAUCUUCCUGCUUUUUCACCUGUGUUCAUAAAAAUUUUUUCAAGUCUAUCUCUGUCAAAGUGUUAAGAAAAAAUAUUCAGCCUAGAAGCUUAGAAAAUGCUACAGUUAAUAAAAGAUGAAAAGAAAUUUGGAUAACAUAAACUAAGUUAUAUUUAUCCAAUAAAAGUAAUGAUCCAUA